Vidua chalybeata is the source of this 2311-nucleotide long non-coding RNA. RefSeq lists it as uncharacterized. Lineage: Eukaryota; Metazoa; Chordata; Aves; Passeriformes; Viduidae. The record is from RefSeq and is a predicted model, not a curated record. The transcript is spliced from 3 exons.
GCUACUGUGCACAUGGUCAGGAGGUAAAACUGGAUCAAAUCAAGAACAGGUUCCUGCCUUGAAGAUUUAGAAAUCUGAAAAGCAAGGAAAAAAGUGUGUGAGGUUCUGUCCUGCCUGGCCUUUUAACCACUUCUAAGCAGUUUCAACCAGGAAGUUUCUGUUCUUCAUUUAAAUUUGCAUCAGCAGAGGCGAAAUGAGCAGAGAUUAAGUCUAAGUCUGGUGAAAACCCACAAAAGAAUAAUUUUUCGUGGAGGAGUGUAGGGGUGGAUCUGAUUGUGGAGACUGCAGGUGCUUGAAUUAAGUCUUCAACAGAGAUGACUCUGCUCACUUGGGAUUCACAACCACAAAUCCUCUAAUGAGGGUUGACACCCACAUAUGUUCUUUGAAGACAUGUUUAUGCUGCUAAUUAAAAAGGGGCCAUGAGACAACCCCUGGCCUCAAAGCCAAAUGGCACAAACUGGCUCAUGGCUGCACAGCUGAGGCUUCUUCUGGAACUAAAUUUAUCUCGGAGAGAGUUUCCUGAAGCAGCCUGAAAGGGAAACAGGAUGUGAACUAAAAUUUAAAUAUUGUGCAUUAGUUGUGGGCCUGCUGCUUAAUCCAAAUCCUGUCUCAUAUUUAUCUGUAAAGAUGUGUCUUGUGAAAUCUGGACAGAACUACCACCCUUAAAAGAUCCUCCAAGACAACAACCCUCUAUGCAGCCAUCAAUGGUUGUAAUGUUUCCUGAAGAAGUGGUAGACCUAUUUUAUAGGUUCUAAAGGAGCGCCACUGCCAUGAAGUUCCCUCAACCUCUCCUGUUAAACUGGACAGAAAAGACUACUGGAAGCUUCAGGCCAGACAGAGAGAAUAACUUUGCAUAACUUUGAAUGCUAAUAAUUAGUUAAGGGAAAGGAAAUACCAUGUUGGUUUGGUUUGGUUUAAUUGGUUGAUUUUCUCCUAGGACUAUUUCUGUUGAUUAAAUGAGUCUCAAAUACAGGAAUUGCCAUGCAGUUUAAAUGCCUACAGUUCCUUUUAUUGGCUCUUUUUCUUUUAAAAAAAAAAAAAUCUUGGAAAAAUCCCCAAAGAGGUUACUGUAAAGUAGUCAUGACAAAUGUAGGUAGAAGAUGCAAGAUGUAGAUGCAGGCUGUGUAUAUUAUCACAGAAAGGAUUGUGUUCAGCAGGAAAAUCUGAAAUGCAUCUGUUGUAAUAUAGCCUUUUUCACUGCUUUUUUCUGGAAGAGGCUGCAGCUGUUAGAUGUACUCAGUAUUGUAAACCUCUGUGCAGGUGGUAACUAGCAUCAGCAGACAGAACCUGUGGUUUCUGCCUGUUUGGGUUUUAUUCCUGGACAUGGCUUACAAGAACUAUAAUUAUUAUUUCAAAAUGUGACCAGAAGAGGGGAGAUCACGGAGGGGAAAAUUAGCAGUCUUAAAAUCCUAAUAUUAAUUGCCUCAGUGUUUAGUUGCUAUACUUAAAGCCAUAAGCCAAACAAACACACUUUUUUUUUUUUUUUUUUUAUUGCUCUGCAGAUGCAAACUGGAACAUAAUAGCCAAAGGCAAAUGUAUCCAUCCACAAAUAUUUUGCAAAUACUUUUAUGAAGUACCUCUUUACAAAGGUUGUGCUCAGUUUUCAGAAGCUUGUAAUGUGUAUUGGUUUUGAAAAGUUUCCAGAAAAAAACAUGUCCGCAGUUUUUAUGCCCUGGAAGAAAUCAAGGAACAUUUUGCAACCUAAAAGGGUGCAGAGUCACCACCAAAUCAAGCCUAAUGCAGUCAAGCUGUUGCUGAGCACUGGUUUGUCAUCUAGCGUGAUCCCAGUUCUCUCUUUUGACCAGAGCUCUGUGUCAGCCAAAAUACUAGUUGAAUGUCUCAAUGGCUAAAAUCCAAAAGAGAGCUGAAAAGUUUUCCUUUUUGUUCUCCAUGGUUCUUACACCACCACAAGCACUGAUAGGACACUGGGAAACUUCUUGUUUCUGAAAUGUAGAAGUUUCACAAAUAGAAGAAAAUUGAAUUAAUGUUGCAACUGAAAAUAGUAUUGUGCAAUGUAAUUCCUCAGUUUCUAGAGGCUCCUAUUUGAAUUAUAUAGAUAGAAAGUGGAUCCAUAUUUCCCACCAUCCUAAAGCCUCUGGUGUCUGGGGUGUCUUUCAUAACUGGCUUGGUCUCCUCACUUGUGGGUGGAACUUUACAUACUGGGGUGAAUGUAAAACAUUGCUGGGUGACAAAAACAGAGGUGCUUGUGGAAGAGCAUCUCUGCCCAGUAAAGUUCUCCAAUUCAAUUUUUACAAUUCAAUAAAGUGUUUAAGCUUAUUUAAUGCAGUACUACUGUAGUUUUUUUUAUUUU